UCCGUGGAGGGGGAAAGUUGAAAAGCACUUUGAAGAGAGAGUUAAAGAGGACGUGAAACCGAUGAGAUGGAAACGGACAGAGCUAGCGUAUCUGGCCUGCAUUCAGCUUGUGCGGUCGCUACCGAUGAAUCGCUGAUCUCCAGAUUGGGACUGUUGACUAGUCGGUCGGUGGCUGUAUAGUGCAUUUGCAGGUGGAGUGCGUCGAGGCAUCCGGGAUGGCGGCAUGAACUCAGCUUUGAGGCCAGCUUGCUGGUACCCGGGCUGGGGGACUUUGUGCUGUUCGUUCUGGGUGUUCACACACAAUUGAAGGGGGCUUUGGUAGGGUGCCGAGCUGGGUGUCGGUGGCGGUCGCUUGCGACACGUACUGUGCACACAGUUCGGUCCUUGCCGAGCUCACUCCAUCUAUCUCGGCGUAAAAGCUGGUCAUCUUUCCGACCCGUCUUGAAACACGGACCAAGGAGUUUAUCGUGUGCGCGAGUCAUUGGGCGUC
Molecule: ribosomal RNA, 490 nt
Filed under: Pratylenchus coffeae
Lineage: Eukaryota; Metazoa; Nematoda; Chromadorea; Rhabditida; Pratylenchidae
Description: partial large subunit ribosomal RNA
Rfam family: Eukaryotic large subunit ribosomal RNA
Source: RNAcentral